CUGCUACUGUGAGCCACUAAAUGCUUGGCAUAUGUAUUGUACACUUCACUUUUAAUUUGAUUCAACAGGCCAUUUGCAAAACAGUUUCAAAAAUUUGUUUUCAAGCCAGGGGAUUUAAUGUAACUAAAAUACUUAAGUCUAACUAGGUUAAAAGUCUAAGAUACAAAGGAUGCUUUCCUUCAUGGUGUCAUACAGUAAUAAUCCUUUCAGGUA
Dipodomys spectabilis (banner-tailed kangaroo rat) is the source of this 213-nucleotide long non-coding RNA. RefSeq lists it as uncharacterized. The record is from RefSeq and is a predicted model, not a curated record. Lineage: Eukaryota; Metazoa; Chordata; Mammalia; Rodentia; Heteromyidae. The transcript is spliced from 3 exons.